UACCUGUGCUGGACACUGCAACAAUGCAAUUCUCUCAAACUCGCAAGCCGCCGACUCGGCUUUCCGGUGUCUUAGGUGAGACCAACCAUGGGAAGCUCUGCUUGGUUCACGCGUCUGACCUUAUGAUUGAUGUUUGGGUCCAAAAAGCUGGUGACCACGGCAUCGAUAAAUGGAUGCGGAACAGGACAUUUCGUAUGGUGGAUGCGAUUGGUCAUCUUGCUCUAAACAUUAUGGAUGAAUGCCCUUCGCUCAAGGUCGUGGCGAUUGUCGGUGGCUUUGUGUAUUUGACUAUUUGUCAGAUGGAGCCUCCUAACUGGCUCCUAUCCUUCUGCAUUGAAACAAGGGAGCUGCAGAAGCUCUGCCGGAUCACUAGAUCCGAGUUCUACUAUCCCUACAUCAUGGCGUGGCCUCCCUCUUUGCUACGCAACAAGGCGGGAUCAGCUUAGUCCAUCACCUCUCAAAAUAAAUAAAUGACAGGCAACUAAGUUUGGCAGGAGCUACCAGAUGCGACAACCGACUUAUCCAGUUAAUGUCCGACUGAGCUGCCCGAAACUAUUAAGGCCAGAAUGAGAAGCAUAUGUUCCAUUCAAUACAUGCUGCAGAAGUUCUUUCAAGCUCCGUAGCUUGGCUGGUUAGAAACCGGAAUUGCAAGUUUACUGUAGGUGCUACAGCAUGCUGGUCUUUGUUGAUCCACAAGGAGAAUCUGAGCUAUCUUCAGCUAUAACUUGUAUCUGUUUGUGAAACUUCUUUAGAACUGUCAAGCGGCAAGAAACUAUAUAAUGAUACCAUGAUGUAAUGAAACAAUGGAUGAUGAUGCUGAAGCUCUUUACUUCCGUCUAUAACCCUGGCUUAAGUG
Lolium rigidum is the source of this 856-nucleotide long non-coding RNA. RefSeq lists it as uncharacterized. The transcript is spliced from 3 exons. The record is from RefSeq and is a predicted model, not a curated record. NCBI's taxonomy places the organism in Eukaryota, Viridiplantae, Streptophyta, Magnoliopsida, Poales, Poaceae.